This 484-nucleotide ribosomal RNA is filed under the name uncultured bacterium. RNAcentral's name for it is "partial 16S ribosomal RNA". It matches the Rfam family "Bacterial small subunit ribosomal RNA", at positions 30 to 507 of the family's 1533-position model. The record is from RNAcentral.
AUUGAACGCUGGCGGCAUGCUUUACACAUGCAAGUCGAACGGCAGCACGGGCUUCGGCCUGGUGGCGAGUGGCGAACGGGUGAGUAAUAUAUCGGAACGUACCCAGAAGUGGGGGAUAACGUAGCGAAAGUUACGCUAAUACCGCAUACGAUCUAUGGAUGAAAGCAGGGGACCGCAAGGCCUUGUGCUCCUGGAGCGUCCGAUAUCUGAUUAGCUAGUUGGUGAGGUAAAGGCUCACCAAGGCGACGAUCAGUAGCUGGUCUGAGAGGACGACCAGCCACACUGGAACUGAGACACGGUCCAGACUCCUACGGGAGGCAGCAGUGGGGAAUUUUGGACAAUGGGCGCAAGCCUGAUCCAGCAAUGCCGCGUGAGUGAAGAAGGCCUUCGGGUUGUAAAGCUCUUUUGUCAGGGAAGAAACGGUAGAGGCUAAUAUCCUUUGCUAAUGACGGUACCUGAAGAAUAAGCACCGGCUAACUACGUG